This 77-nucleotide transfer RNA is filed under the name Flavobacteriales bacterium. RNAcentral's name for it is "tRNA-Arg". It matches the Rfam family "tRNA". Rfam says of the family: Transfer RNA (tRNA) molecules are approximately 80 nucleotides in length. The record is from RNAcentral. Lineage: Bacteria; Pseudomonadati; Bacteroidota; Flavobacteriia; Flavobacteriales.
GGCCCUGUAGCUCAAUUGGAUAGAGUGUCACACUACGGAUGUGAAAGUUGCAAGUUCGAAUCUUGCCAGGGUCACAA